CGCUAGCCCUCUGUAAUCCCGUACCUGUAAUCCCGGCUGCGUCCCUGGAGGAGCGGCGGGCAGAAGCUUGGGGGAGGAGGCUGAGGUGGGGAGCAGAGGGCGCCCUCAGGGUGCCCAGGCUUGGCUGCAGCGGUGAGCGGUGAGCGGUGAGCGGCGCAGCUGCUCUGUCAGGUGCCAGAGAGGCAGGUGCAGGAGCCGAACCUGCCCCGCAGCGCGUCAAGGGUCUCACUAUGUAGCCCAAGCUGACCUCGAACUCGUGGCGAUCCUCCUGCCUCAGCCUCCCGAGUACUGGGGCUACGGCCAUGCACCACCGCAUCCCGCUCCUCCCUCCAUUUUAAAUUCUAACCGGCCCCCUUUCAAACUCAUCCCACCAUCCACAACCCCUGCUUCCUAUGGCCUGGGUCCCUACUCCCCUCUACUCCGAAUAGCUCCCUGACCCCCAAUAACCUGGGCAAAGGAAAGGAGACUCCCAGAACUGCUUCAGAAAGUGGCAAGGGAGGGGCAGGUUUUGAGGGGGACUCAUAGCAAUGCCUUUUAC
RNAcentral lists this long non-coding RNA (538 nucleotides) under Heterocephalus glaber (naked mole-rat). RNAcentral describes it as "lncRNA (ENSHGLG00100050001.1)". Lineage: Eukaryota; Metazoa; Chordata; Mammalia; Rodentia; Bathyergidae. The record is from RNAcentral.